Molecule: long non-coding RNA, 1477 nt
Filed under: Gallus gallus (chicken)
Lineage: Eukaryota; Metazoa; Chordata; Aves; Galliformes; Phasianidae
Description: lncRNA (ENSGALG00010002489.1)
Source: RNAcentral
GUGAAGGUAGACACUAUUGCUAAGAUUGUCCUGUAGUAUUCUAUUGUAGAUAACCAUGAUGUUAGUGACCAAGCUAGAUACGUUUCAUAAGACAGUUGUGACAAAAAAUAAUUAUUGAAAACUACUAAGAUCUUAGGUCUUAAUGAUUUAUCUGCUUCUAGCCAAUGAAUGGUUUGUGUAAACCAUGUAUCAGAGUAGCGUUUCACUGAUCAACAAGAAAGAAUGGAGACUUCUAUCAGGUAGUCUUUGGGUUUUUUUGCUGAGACCUGAGGCCAUAGAUCUGAGCUAUGUGAACUGUCCCAUUUAUAUCAUCAGAACUAUUUUACAUACUCAAUGAUGCUAAUCCAACUUGAACAGAUUCUCUACGUAAAUAGAGGCCCCCAAUAGUAUCUGCAACUCCUGUAAGCAUUGUGCACACUUGUGUGGGCUUGGCAGACCUGAUUGGAGCUCCCAUAAACCCAAACCAUAUCCUGUGGUAUAUAAUAGAUAUUAUAUGGAUUCACUCUUAAGUCCUGCUCUGUCACAGUGUUAAUCUUUUCACCACUUGUGAAAGACAGAAGAGGGAAAUUGACAGUACUAUUGUCAGCAGAAGAUAAUGAGUGGCAUUUCUGCUGGGUAUUGUGAGGUGGCACCUAGAAAAUGAUGUCUGUUUAUUUUAUCUAGCUUUGCUUUGUUCAUUCUGAUACACUUAGCCAAAGGAUCCAAACAGUAUAACUGAGCAUGAAGUUUGACUGACUAGCCUCAUAAGCUUUGUCUAGAGUAAUGAGUUGUAGAGUACCAUAGGAUGGACAUAGAUAUUGGAGGUCAGUCAUCUCUACUUUGAAAACUCGGGGGGGGGAGGGAGAGGGGAAGGGAAGGAAAGGAAUAAAAAAGCCCAUCUGAUCUCUGACAGGGCCCAAGAGAUUUUCUUCCACUCUCCUGGAAGGAGAUUGAUUUUCUUCUUUCUCUCCUGGAGGAUGUGUCUUACAUCAGAAGGACCUUCCAUGUUCUCACAUUUCCCAUUUUACACUGUGAAAGCGAAGGGAGCAGAAUUGAGACUCAGGUAAAUUUUCUACUCAGUUUUAAUUUAGUCUCUAGAGCCAAAGGAUGAAAUUAUGGUGCCUGCUCUUUAAUUUGGAUAGCACAAUGCAUGGUCUCCAAAGAGUACAUGAAACAGGAGAACAACUUUGUGCAGAAUCCUGUUUGGGGAUUUCAGGUAGGAAAAAAUUGGCUUGCGGACAGGAUUUGACAAAAGGCUAUCAUACCUUUUUCUAGUGUGAAUGUUGAUUUAGUUUGAGAAUAUGCAGCAUACUGAAGAAUUAAUCUCCAGCCAGUUAAAGGACUGUUUAAGACAUCUUGGUGGUUUCAAUCAAUAAUCCAGAAAGAUAAAUGGUUUAAAGCUUUCUAAACAGCAACUUUAUUUGAAAAGAAUAAAAAUUAAAGAUGCAACUGCAAUUGCAACAUCUUUUUAUGCAGCCAGACUAGAAAACUCAGAGAU